AUUAUGAUUACCGGGUGGUUGAUUUGAGUUAGUUAUUUGGGGCUCCUAUAAAAGGGCUUCUUUUUGCAUGCUGCAGCGUCUGCCUUGGGUUCCCCCCUCCCCCUUCCGCUUCACCGCGUGGCUCAGAGGUAUGUUUGGCUUUGUGUGUGAGGGAGAAACGCACGUGUAAGUCGGCGUUUAGUUAAUUUAUUUGUUUUAUUUAGAGCGUUUUGUUGCUGUCUCAUCCUCUGAAACUGCACUCGAGUCUGGCUUAUCCCAGUUCUCAGGUAAAUGCUCCGUAUAUGCAGCGUAAUUUGGUAGUAUAGCGCUGUACCCGUGAGUUACUGUUUGUUUUGGUUUCAGUUUAACUCCUCAGUGGGAAUUGUUGGCGUCUGACCAAUUGUAACGCUGCCUGACGGCAUUUUCAUCAGCUCUCGGGUCCAGCCGAUCUGGUGUGAUUACUGGCUGUUGCAUGAAGAUAGCAUCCUGUAACGGUGAAAUAAGCUGCCGUUUUGCCUCCAGAGAAGUUUAAUGAAGCUCUAAGACACUUUUAUUCUCUUAAGUGUGUUGAUAACUGUGGUGGGAACCUAUAUCAUUCUGUGCUAAAUUAUCGGACUGCAGCUUGUGCUCAUGCACACUGUUUUAUAGCUUUAAAGCUCUACUCUUACUUACUUACUAUUUGUUUAUAAAACUCCGUCUACUAUCAGUGCAACUAUAUUACACCUGUGGUGUAUGCAUUGUUAUUUUUGUGCACUGAUGCUUCAUCUGUAAAUUGUUUGCUGUGUGCAAUAGUUAAUCCAAUCUAAACUGUAUUUUGAGCCAUUGUAUUGUGGUCCUUUUUAUAUUUCUGAUUUUAUUUGGUAGUUGUGGAGUAGGUGCAUGAGGGAUCCAGGAGGGGAGAUUUAAGUAUUAUUUUCACUUUGCUUUACUGGUUGGGAUUUGAUUUAUUUUCUGGCACGGGUGACUUUUGUUGUGAUUUUGAUAUUUUUUUAGUUAAAUUUUGGCCCCCACCUGGUGAGCUUCAGCCCUACAACAAUUAAAAUUAGCUUCUUUGUAAUUUCUUAACUCAAAUGACCUGUUGUUGAUUUUAAUGUGUUUUUGAGCAUUGAGUGGUUCUGGUGAUAUUAAUCUUAAAAUUUUCUCUGUUUUGCA
Long non-coding RNA from Astyanax mexicanus (Mexican tetra), 1131 nucleotides. RefSeq lists it as uncharacterized. The record is from RefSeq and is a predicted model, not a curated record. The transcript is spliced from 2 exons. Lineage: Eukaryota; Metazoa; Chordata; Actinopteri; Characiformes; Acestrorhamphidae.